Long non-coding RNA from Lates calcarifer (barramundi perch), 1394 nucleotides. RefSeq lists it as uncharacterized. The transcript is spliced from 4 exons. Lineage: Eukaryota; Metazoa; Chordata; Actinopteri; Centropomidae. The record is from RefSeq and is a predicted model, not a curated record.
CUCGUUCUGCAGCUUCAGGCUGAUUCAUUAAAGCUGAUUUUACUUUAAUUAUUGUUCACAGGAACAACAGUGAAGUGAAACUAAAAGACAACGACACGACAGCUGCAGCGUUCACCUUCACUAUUUCACCUGAAACAUUAAAACUUUUUUUAACUGUAGAUCAGUUAAAAAGUCACGAUAUCCAGCCAGGAAACAACUGUUGUUCUCCGAACUCCAGACUUCCACUAAUUUUGGAUUGAAUAAUGGAUUGUUUUGUCUCAAGUCUCUGCAGGUUGAGAUGUAGUUAAUGUUCUUAAACAUCUAAAAACCUUUGAGAGUUAAUCUUUAAAUGGAACAUUAUGUGAGGGCUCGGCAGCACCUCAGAGUUCAAACUGAAUCUCUGACUGAUCUUCCACACAGUUAAGGUUUUUCUGUUAUUUUGUCCACCCGGUGUGUGGGUGUGUGUAGAUGGUCUUCCUCAGUGUCAAUGUGUGAUAGUUUGGAUGAAGAGGAACCUGCAGCCUGUUGUUGCUCUGCAGGACGUCUCCUCUGCUCAGAGGGGAAGUUGAGUCACACGAGCAGAGAAAAUUUCUGUUUUCAUUUCUCCUUUUGGGUUUCUUCACUUCUGUCAGUUCUGGUUGCAUAAAGAGAGAAUCUGAAACAACGUCAAUGAAUUUCAGGGCUUGGAGCACAGAGGAAAACACUGCUACAAAAAUGACAGAUUUCUGAAUGAGGUUUUGAAUGGAGUUUAUCUUCCGACCAAUCAGAGCUGACAGUUUGUCCUCGGAGCAGAAGCACAGGACGUGGUUGGAGGGGAGGAGUGAAGUAGACUGGAAAAAACGCUGCAUUAUGAAGGAGGAAACCUUAUAAGGACUCAAACUUCAACCAGUAAACCAUGAGCUGAAGUCUCCCAGGUGUGACUGCUUCAUCCAUGAUCGGAGAGAUGUCGCCCAUUAUUCGCAGAGGCAUGUGCGAAAGUCAGCAGUGAUUGGGGUCCCCGAAUACAAAGCACCACCUGUGUUCAAAGAAACAUUGUCGAUGAUCACAGAGAUGUCAUCCAUGAUCACAGAGAUUCUUCGUACAAUGAAGAAGUUCUUUGAGACCAGGACAGAGACCUCUGGAUAAUUCACCACAGCUUUACAUCAACUGCCCAACACAAAGCACUGACAUUAAACUGUUCAUGUUCAGUAUUAGGUAUAUCAGGAAAGUGUAAUAAUAAUAAUAGAAUAAUAAUAGUAAUCUGCAUUAUAAAAAUAAUGUAAUGAAGUACUGUAUGUAUAAGUAUUUACAACAUCAGAAAUAAGAUGUAAUAGUCAAAAAUGGCAUCAAAAGCCAUGAAAAAAUAUAAAAAAAGAUGUCAUAGUAUAGUUAGAUGUCAAAAAUCAUCAAAAAACGUCAUAGUAUAAUAAGGUGUC